Molecule: small nucleolar RNA, 133 nt
Organism: Suncus etruscus (white-toothed pygmy shrew)
Lineage: Eukaryota; Metazoa; Chordata; Mammalia; Eulipotyphla; Soricidae
Product: small nucleolar RNA SNORA51
Exons: 1
Source: RefSeq, a predicted model, not a curated record
GGCCUCCCAAUUUAAACUAAGGGCUGUGUUCUUUACCCUGACUGUAUAGAAAGAGGAGGUACAGUAAAUACACCCAUAUACACCUCAACUCAGGCCCAUUUGCCUGGUCUGUAUUGUGAAUUGGGGGAAAAAU